RNAcentral lists this ribosomal RNA (2926 nucleotides) under Salmonella enterica subsp. arizonae serovar 62:z36:- str. RKS2983. Its description in RNAcentral is "bacterial LSU rRNA". It matches the Rfam family "Bacterial large subunit ribosomal RNA". The record is from RNAcentral. Lineage: Bacteria; Pseudomonadati; Pseudomonadota; Gammaproteobacteria; Enterobacterales; Enterobacteriaceae.
GGGUUGUGAGGUUAAGCGACCAAGCGUACACGGUGGAUGCCCUGGCAGUCAGAGGCGAUGAAGGACGUGCUAAUCUGCGAAAAGCGCCGGUAAGGUGAUAUGAACCGUUAUAACCGGCGAUGUCCGAAUGGGGAAACCCAGUGUGACUCGUCACACUAUCAUUAACUGAAUCCAUAGGUUAAUGAGGCGAACCGGGGGAACUGAAACAUCUAAGUACCCCGAGGAAAAGAAAUCAACCGAGAUUCCCCCAGUAGCGGCGAGCGAACGGGGAGGAGCCCAGAGCCUGAAUCAGCAUGUGUGUUAGUGGAAGCGUCUGGAAAGGCGCGCGAUACAGGGUGACAGCCCCGUACACAAAAGCGCAUGUGCUGUGAGCUCGAUGAGUAGGGCGGGACACGUGGUAUCCUGUCUGAAUAUGGGGGGACCAUCCUCCAAGGCUAAAUACUCCUGACUGACCGAUAGUGAACCAGUACCGUGAGGGAAAGGCGAAAAGAACCCCGGCGAGGGGAGUGAAACAGAACCUGAAACCGUGUACGUACAAGCAGUGGGAGCAUGAGUUUACUCAUGUGACUGCGUACCUUUUGUAUAAUGGGUCAGCGACUUAUAUUCUGUAGCAAGGUUAACCGUAUAGGGGAGCCGGAGGGAAACCGAGUCUUAACCGGGCGUUAAGUUGCAGGGUAUAGACCCGAAACCCGGUGAUCUAGCCAUGGGCAGGUUGAAGGUUGGGUAACACUAACUGGAGGACCGAACCGACUAAUGUUGAAAAAUUAGCGGAUGACCUGUGGCUGGGGGUGAAAGGCCAAUCAAACCGGGAGAUAGCUGGUUCUCCCCGAAAGCUAUUUAGGUAGCGCCUCGUGAAUUCAUCUCCGGGGGUAGAGCACUGUUUCGGCCAGGGGGCCAUCCCGGCUUACCAACCCGAUGCAAACUGCGAAUACCGGAGAAUGUUAUCACGGGAGACACACGGCGGGUGCUAACGUCCGUCGUGAAGAGGGAAACAACCCAGACCGCCAGCUAAGGUCCCAAAGUCAUGGUUAAGUGGGAAACGAUGUGGGAAGGCCCAGACAGCCAGGAUGUUGGCUUAGAAGCAGCCAUCAUUUAAAGAAAGCGUAAUAGCUCACUGGUCGAGUCGGCCUGCGCGGAAGAUGUAACGGGGCUAAACCAUGCACCGAAGCUGCGGCAGCGACACUGUGUGUUGUUGGGUAGGGGAGCGUUCUGUAAGCCUGCGAAGGUGGCCUGUGAGGGUUGCUGGAGGUAUCAGAAGUGCGAAUGCUGACAUAAGUAACGAUAAUGCGGGUGAAAAACCCGCACGCCGGAAGACCAAGGGUUCCUGUCCAACGUUAAUCGGGGCAGGGUGAGUCGACUCCUAAGGCGAGGCCGAAAGGCGUAGUCGAUGGGAAACGGGUUAAUAUUCCCGUACCUGGUGUUACUGCGAAGGGGGGACGGAGAAGGCUAUGUUGGCCGGGCGACGGUUGUCCCGGUUUAAGCGUGUAGGCUGGUUUUCCAGGCAAAUCCGGAAAAUCAAGGCUGAGGCGUGAUGACGAGGCACUACGGUGCUGAAGCAACAAAUGCCCUGCUUCCAGGAAAAGCCUCUAAGCCUCAGGUAACAUCAGAUCGUACCCGAAACCGACACAGGUGGUCAGGUAGAGAAUACCAAGGCGCUUGAGAGAACCCGGGUGAAGGAACUAGGCAAAAUGGUGCCGUAACUUCGGGAGAAGGCACGCUGACACGUAGGUGAAGCGGUUUACCCGUGGAGCUGAAGUCAGUCGAAGAUACCAGCUGGCUGCAACUGUUUAUUAAAAACACAGCACUGUGCAAACACGAAAGUGGACGUAUACGGUGUGACGCCUGCCCGGUGCCGGAAGGUUAAUUGAUGGGGUCAGCGCAAGCGAAGCUCCUGAUCGAAGCCCCGGUAAACGGCGGCCGUAACUAUAACGGUCCUAAGGUAGCGAAAUUCCUUGUCGGGUAAGUUCCGACCUGCACGAAUGGCGUAAUGAUGGCCAGGCUGUCUCCACCCGGGACUCAGUGAAAUUGAACUCGCUGUGAAGAUGCAGUGUACCCGCGGCAAGACGGAAAGACCCCGUGAACCUUUACUAUAGCUUGACACUGAACACUGGUCCUUGAUGUGCAGGAUAGGUGGGAGGCUUUGAAGUGUGGACGCCAGUCUGCAUGGAGCCGUCCUUGAAAUACCACCCUUUAAUGGCUGGUGUUCUAACGUAGACCCGUGAACCGGGUUGCGGACAGUGUCUGGUGGGUAGUUUGACUGGGGCGGUCUCCUCCUAAAGCGUAACGGAGGAGCACGAAGGUUGGCUAAUCCUGGUCGGACAUCAGGAGGUUAGUGCAAUGGCAUAAGCCAGCUUGACUGCGAGCGUGACGGCGCGAGCAGGUGCGAAAGCAGGUCAUAGUGAUCCGGUGGUUCUGAAUGGAAGGGCCAUCGCUCAACGGAUAAAAGGUACUCCGGGGAUAACAGGCUGAUACCGCCCAAGAGUUCAUAUCGACGGCGGUGUUUGGCACCUCGAUGUCGGCUCAUCACAUCCUGGGGCUGAAGUAGGUCCCAAGGGUAUGGCUGUUCGCCAUUUAAAGUGGUACGCGAGCUGGGUUUAGAACGUCGUGAGACAGUUCGGUCCCUAUCUGCCGUGGGCGCUGGAGAACUGAGGGGGGCUGCUCCUAGUACGAGAGGACCGGAGUGGACGCAUCACUGGUGUUCGGGUUGUCAUGCCAAUGGCACUGCCCGGUAGCUAAAUGCGGAAGAGAUAAGUGCUGAAAGCAUCUAAGCACGAAACUUGCCCCGAGAUGAGUUCUCCCUGAGACUACAAGUCUCCUGAAGGAACGUUGAAGACGACGACGUUGAUAGGCCGGGUGUGUAAGCGCAGCGAUGCGUUGAGCUAACCGGUACUAAUGAACCGUGAGGCUUAACCUUACAACGCCGAAG